UACAGAGGUCCCAAGCGUUGUUCGGAUUCAUUGGGCGUAAAGGGUGCGUAGGUGGCGUCGUAAGUCAGGUGUGAAAUCUCGGAGCUUAACUCCGAAACUGCAUUUGAUACUGCGGUGCUUGAGGACUGGAGAGGAGACUGGAAUUUACGGUGUAGCGGUGAAAUGCGUAGAUAUCGUAAGGAAGACCAGUGGCGAAGGCGGGUCUCUGGACAGUUCCUGACGCUGAGGCACGAAGGCCAGGGGAGCAAACGGG
Molecule: ribosomal RNA, 253 nt
Filed under: uncultured bacterium
Lineage: Bacteria
Description: partial 16S ribosomal RNA
Rfam family: Bacterial small subunit ribosomal RNA
Source: RNAcentral